CUUCAGAAGCUUUGUGAAACUCAGACAGAUACAGAGGCGUUCGGGCGGAGCUGUUGCAAUUCUACGUGAGUUUAAGCCAGAGACUCGAGUUCUUUAUUCUUUUUUUUUUUUUCUUUUUACCGAAGUACAGCAAAAUCUUUGUUUCUGCAUCAGCACACCUCAGCGUUAAAUAGCCUUUCUGAAACACAGGAUCAUGCCUACGUGGAGCUGAUUUUCAACAGAGAAUGCCUACUGAGCAAUAAUCAAGAUCAACCAGAAACAUUCAGUUUCAAUCCCAUGGCAGGAAUUGAAAAGAGGAGGAAGAGACCAGCGUGAUAUUCUUCAAAAGCAGAAUUUAUUGAUAAAUUUUGUAGAAUUAAACAUAGAUAUGAACUGGCCAUAUUCAUAAAUAGGAAAGUGUUACUUUCACAUAUAAUCCCAAAGUCCUUUAAGAAAAGAUUCCAUAGUUAUUAUAAGAAUCACUAUUUUUGUUCACGGACACAUAGAUAAUAAUUUAGUAUCUGAAAAGUCCCUUAGAGGUCAUCAAGAAAAAGCCACUUAUUUUUCAGAAGAGGAAAAUGAAGUAUAGAAAUUUUUAAAUAAUUGCUCCAACAUUUGAAAGCUGUGAAAUGAUAGAGGCAGGAUAAAAAUUCAGAUCCUCUAACUAAAUCCAGUGUUCUUUUUUUUUUACACUAGUACCAUAUGCCUUAAUUUCCCAAAUAAUAUUUAAUUGAAGAAGACACCAUGGUGUAGGAGAGAACUGGCCUUAGAGCCAAGAAGAUAGGGGACUACUUACUGGUUAAUCACUUAACCUUUAGUGUAGCUCUCUAAGACUAUACAUUUUUUCCCCUUGUUUAAUUGAUAUUUUGUUUUAUUUCUUUCUUUCUUUUUAACUAGGGUUUUUUUUUUCCCCAAAUACAUGCAAUACAAAUUUCCAUAUGAGUUUUCUGAAGUUAUAUAAUCUAAAUUGUAAGACUAUAUUUUCUAACAAGAGUGCCAACCUGUAUUAGUAGAGGUAGUUUUCUCAUCUGGCAGUCCUCUAUAUGAAUGAAAUCACAGAUUUAGUCCCUGUCACUGAAACAAUUGAACUGUAAACUCUUUAAGGUUAUUCUUUGAAACUGUUUUGUGUUCAUAUGCACCCAUAGUCAAUCAAUAAAUAUUUGAUGAAUUGAAAUGUAGUGUUUGAU
Molecule: long non-coding RNA, 1166 nt
Filed under: Monodelphis domestica (gray short-tailed opossum)
Lineage: Eukaryota; Metazoa; Chordata; Mammalia; Didelphimorphia; Didelphidae
Description: lncRNA (ENSMODG00000036903.1)
Source: RNAcentral